Molecule: small nuclear RNA, 162 nt
Filed under: Haemaphysalis longicornis (longhorned tick)
Lineage: Eukaryota; Metazoa; Arthropoda; Arachnida; Ixodida; Ixodidae
Description: U1 spliceosomal RNA
Rfam family: U1 spliceosomal RNA
About the family: U1 is a small nuclear RNA (snRNA) component of the spliceosome (involved in pre-mRNA splicing).
Source: Rfam by way of RNAcentral
AUACUUACCUGGUGUCGGGGUUCCCCUGAUCAUCGAGGGGGUGGGUCCAGGGAGUACACAGGCAUUGCACUACGCCCGUGUCGGGCCCUGCCAUUAUCCCGUAGCUGGGAGGUGGUACACUCACUUUUUGGUAGCGGGAAACAGCGCCAGAGCGGAUCCCCU